UUUUUUUUUUUUUACAAGGUUCUUUUUUUCUUUUUCUUUUUUGUGCUAAAAGAUUAUGUAUUUGUAUGGUUAUUCGAGUGAGUUUUUUGCUUGUAUAGAGGAGCUCACCAGUAAUCAUAAAUACGAGAUGACUUGCACGCGCGCUGCCUUGGGCAGUAGAAGGAUAUUUACCCCAAAAUAAGGGUUGGGAAGUUCCUUUCCUCCAGGGAUAUAUUACCCCCACAAUUUUGGGGGGAGCCAAAUUUUUCCUGGUAAGGGGAAAGGAAUACGUGGUAACAUGGUAAUUGAAAUUUAAAAAGGCAUUUUAUUAUAACCCCGGAUAAAUAAAAACCCCCUUUCUUGGAUAAAAAAAAAUUUUAANNNNNNNNNNNNNNNNNNNNNNNNNNNNNNNNNNNNNNNNNNNNNNNNNNNNNNNNNNNNNNNNNNNNNNNNNNNNNNNNNNNNNNNNNNNNNNNNNNNNUAUUGUAGCAAUCCACAGUGUUUUGUGAGAAAAACUACAACGCUUUCCUCAUAUGAUUUAGCUUUAUUGUAAUUAUAAUUCUUAACCAACUCAAUAUUAAAAAAAAAAUCGACAAAGAUAAUUUUGGAAAAAAUCAUAAAAAAAUCACAUGGAAAAACACUACAACAAUUCACAGUGUUUUCAAGAAAAAAAAUAACAAAGCUAAAUUCUUAAUCGGCUCAAUAUUAAAAAAAAAUCAACAUAGAUAAUUUUAGAAAAAAAAACAAACACCAAAAAAGGGGGGAAAAUCAUGUUGGAAACACUGUAGCAAUUCACCGUGUUUUGUGAUGAAAGCUACAGUGCUUCCCCACAUGAUUUAGCCUUAUUUGUAAUGACUUGUAAUUGUAAUUCACAAACAACUCAAUAUUAAAAAGAUAAUUUGAAAAAGAUAAUUUGAAAAAAAUUAUAACAAAAAAAACUAUGCGGAGAGGCACCGUAACAAUCCACAAUGUUUUAUGAGCAAAGCUACAAUACUUUCCCCACAUGAUUAAGCUUUAUUACAAAGUUAAAUUUUAACCAACUCAAUAUUUUAAAAAAUAAAAUCGACGAAAAUGAUUUUGGAAAAAAAUAUUACAAAAAAAAAACACAAAAGAAACUGGAAAAAAAACUAUGGGAGAAAAAACUGUAUCAAUCCAUAGUGUUUUUUGAGGAAAAACUUGUAUUUACUUGUAAUUAUAAUUCUUAACCAGCUUAAUAUUUAAAAAAUAAAAUUGACGAAGAUAAUUUUAGGGAAAAACAUAACGAAAACAGAAAAAAACCAUGUGGGAAAAAACACUGUAGCAACCAACAGUAAUUUUCGAGGAAAGUUAAAGUGCUUUCCUCACAUAUUGUAACUGUAAUUUUUAACCAGUUCAAUAUUAAAAAAUAAAAUAAAAAAAGAUAAUUUCGGAGAAAAUCAUAAAAAAAAACCAUGCGGAGAAACACUGUAGCAAUAAACAAUGUUUUAAAGAAAAAAAAUACAAAACUAAAUUCUCAAUCAGCUUCAUAUUAAAAAAUAUAUAUAUAUAAUUUUAAAAAAUAAAGAAAUAAAAUAGAAAAACUAUGUGGAAAAACAUCGCAGCAAUUCACAGUAUUUUCAAGAAAAAAAUUACAAAGCAAAAAUUUUAACCAGGUCAAUAUUUAAAAAGUAAAAUCAACAAAAAUAAUUUUGGAAAAAAUAAAAGAAAAAAUAAAUGAAAAAAAAGAAAAAUUAGGAAAGUUGAAAAAAAAAACGAAAAAAAAAAAAAGUUGGGAAGAAUCACUGUGGAUUACUGUUGUAAUCCACAGUGAAAUGUGUGGGGGGGAACAGUGAUUCCCCCACACCAUUUAGAGUAUGUGUUAAUAGAACUCUGUCUUGGGGUUAUAUAUGGCAGUAGAAGGAUAUAUACCCCAAAAUAGGGUUGGGAAGUCCUUUCCUCAAGGAUAUAUACCCCACAAUCUGUACAUGAUUUCUUUUUUCCUGGUAAUGGUAAUGGAUACUGGUAUACAUGAAUUGAACUUAAAUAAUGCAUAUAUUAUAACCUUGAUAAAUUAAUACUCACAUCUUGAUUAAAUAAUAUUUUUUGACUGGUC
This 2050-nucleotide long non-coding RNA is filed under the name Populus trichocarpa (black cottonwood). RNAcentral describes it as "long non-coding RNA (PTRI_LNC002750)". Lineage: Eukaryota; Viridiplantae; Streptophyta; Magnoliopsida; Malpighiales; Salicaceae. The record is from RNAcentral.